RNAcentral lists this long non-coding RNA (2661 nucleotides) under Sparus aurata (gilthead seabream). RNAcentral's name for it is "lncRNA (ENSSAUG00010022704.1)". Lineage: Eukaryota; Metazoa; Chordata; Actinopteri; Spariformes; Sparidae. The record is from RNAcentral.
AUGGACGAGGUCAGACAGCCCAAGUGUAUCCAAGACUACAACACACACAUGGGAGGAGUGGACCUGCAUGACCAGUUUGUCAGCCGCUACAGAGUCAACAUCCAUUCCAAGAAGUGGUGGUGGCCAUGCUUCAGCUGGGCCCUGAACAGUGCCAUGGUGAACAGCUGGUGCUAUUACAGGUCCUGGAAAAGCGGGGAGAAGGAUCUCCUCUCCUUCCAGAGGCUGGUAGCCCAGACCCUCCUCAUGCGCCAUGGAACAAAGCAAAGUAGGCAGGGCAGAAGAUCUUCGAUGCCGGUGGCGAUAACUGAUGCCACCAGGUUUAAUAAUCUCAACCACUGGCCCUACAACACUGGUAGCAGAACCUGGAUCAGGAUUCCUCUGACCACAACUCUGACAAUGGCUCAGAAGACAAACAUGAUGGUGGUGGGAUUACUAACCUGGAUCAGGAUUCUUCUGACCACAACUCUGACAAUGGCUCAGAAGAAGAACAUGAUGGUGGUGGGAUUACUAGCCUGCAAACAGACCCUGGUGAUGAUAUCCUCAGACAUCCUUCCUCCCCACUCUUGUUUGAGGACAGUGUUGAUUUUGAGUUGUUUGAACCACUGUGGCAGUCUUUUACUGACUCUGAAUCCAUUGGCAAUGGAGAAGAAUGUCCCAUGGAAGACAGCACUGACAAGUCAGAAAAUUAAGAAUCACAUUUGGGAGUAGGCGGUAAUGAAAAGUUUCCUUUGGCAAAUGAUAAGCCACUUUACACAGGCUCACAACUAACGAAAGCUCAGAGUUUUUUACUUAUACUUUCAUAUGCUUUGAGACACUCACUUACUGGUGUGGACCUGUCUGAUCUUUUAGAUUUGAUUAAUAUCCACUGUCCGGAAAAUGUUCUAACUUCAAAGCAUCUGCUCUUAAAAGAGCUUAAACCAAUACAAGGUCACCUAGAACGUCACGUAUACUGUCCCAACUGUGAAUAUUACAUCGGCGACCAAGUCACUGAAGGGCAGUGUUCUGUAUGUAACUCUGCAUGGGAUAGAAACAGCUCACUGAAGAAUGGAAAUUUCUUCCUAUACUUACCCAUCCAAACAUAACUGGAACAUCUUCUUCAAAGAGAAGAUAUUGCAUGUUGUCUCAAGUCAGGAAAUGGCACGUGCAAUUCAGAAAAUUAUGUUGACAUAUGUUGUGGUAAAAUGUAUCAUAAUCUGAACAAAGAUGGAGGCCCACUAGAUAGUCCUCAUGCAUUCUCCUUAACAUUAAAUUGUGAUGGACUUCCAUUAUUCAAAUCAUCCCAGUAUGGAAUUUGGCCAUUACAAGGGAUGGUAAAUGAGCUUCCUUAUCAUGUCCGUAAAGAGAAUGUUUUACUUUUUGGCCUUUGGUUUGGUACUAAAAAGCCAAAUGUUAAUACAUUUUUAAAACCAUUCACACAAGAGUGUAAGUCAUUGUCAACUGUUGGCUUCAAGUUACACAGCAACAACAUUGUGAAGCAGUGUAGAGUGAGCUGUUAUGAUGUGUGAUUCAGUUGCCAGACCCAUUCUGCAAAACAUGACCCAAUUUAAUGGUCAUUAUGGGUGCAGCCUCUGUCUACAUCCUGGUGAACAAAUUCCAAAGGGAAAUGGAACUGUUAGGGUUUAUCCAUACAAAGAUGUUCCAAAUAGAGAUCAUGCUUCAACCCUAACUGGUGCAAGGGAGGCUGUGCGUACCACACAAUCUGUGAGGGGCUUUGAGAGAGAAACUUUCAGUCACCACGGAUACAGUUGUAAAAAUAUUCAGUAGAACUUUAGUCAAAGGAGAACUGUAUUACUCAGAGCAGUUCACUAGAGUAAUGAAAAGGAACAGCUUCACUAUUUUGUCGUAUGAUGGACACAUAAUCACUGUGUAUUAUUACAUUGUGGUAGGGAGACUUGAUAACAGAAAAUGUUUUGCUGUUGGAAGACAGUAUGACAAAUCAUACAGUUCAGUGCCAAAUUUAGAAAAUGUAGUUGGCUUGAAAAGAGUGUUACAGGGCAGGAAACAGGUUUUUGAUGUGAUGAAAUUCAACAGGAAAUGUUGGUUGAUCUGCCACAUCAUGCCAACCUUUAUGCAUGUGUACCUCCACGUGUGGAGGACUGAAAUGUUGAGGAUGAAAUGUCAUUUAUGGAAAAAAAAUUUUAAGAUGGAAUGUCAUUUGUGGAAAAAAAUGUUUAAGAUGAAAUGUCAUUUAUGGAAAAAAAUAUUGAAGAUGAAAUGUCAUUUAUGGAAAAAAAAAAUGUGGAAGAUGAAAUGUCAUUUAUGGAAAAAGAUGAAGAUGAAAUGUCAUUUAUGGAAAAAAAUGAAGAUGAAAUGUCAUUUAUGGAAAAAAAAUGUUGAAGAUGAAAUGUCAUUUAUGGAAAAAAAAUUUUGUAGAUGAAAUGUCAUUUAUGGAAAAAAAAGAUGAAGAUGAAAUGUCAUUUAUGGAAAAAAAAUGUUGAAGAUGAAAUGUCAUUUAUGGAAAAAAAAUGUUGAAGAUGAAAUGUCAUUUAUGGAAAAAAAAGAUGAAGAUGAAAUGUCAUUUAUGGAAAAAAAAAUGAUGAAGAUGAAAUGUCAUUUAUGGAAAAAAAAUGUUGAAGAUGAAAUGUCAUUUAUGGAAAAAAAAGAUGAAGAUGAAAUGUCAUUUAUGGAAAAAAAAUGAUGAAGAUGAAAUGUCAUUUGGAG